RNAcentral lists this ribosomal RNA (255 nucleotides) under uncultured bacterium. Its description in RNAcentral is "partial 16S ribosomal RNA". It matches the Rfam family "Bacterial small subunit ribosomal RNA", at positions 524 to 777 of the family's 1533-position model. The record is from RNAcentral.
UACAGGAGGGGCAAGCGUUGUUCGGAAUUACUGGGCGUAAAGGGCGCGUAGGCGGCCUUCUAAGUCGAACGUGAAAUCCCCGGGCUCAACCCGGGAACUGCGUCCGAUACUGGAAGGCUUGAAUCCGGGAGAGGGAUGCGGAAUUCCAGGUGUAGCGGUGAAAUGCGUAGAUAUCUGGAGGAACACCGGGUGGCGAAGGCGACUUACUGGACACAUAUUGACGCUGAGGUGCGAAAGCGUGGGGAGCAAACAGGG